UAGUACUCACCUUGUGUGCAAUGUUGUGUAUAGUAAUAUACACCUACACCAACCUAUAACCUUGAACCACUUUGUCUGAAAAACUAUUAUGAAUACUUAAUUCAAAAUACAACUUUCAACAACGGAUCUCUUGGCUCUCGCAUCGAUGAAGAACGCAGCGAAAUGCGAUACGUAAUGUGAAUUGCAGAAUUCAGUGAAUCAUCGAAUCUUUGAACGCACAUUGCACUCUCUGGUAUUCCGGAGAGUAUGCUUGUUUGAGUAUCAGUAAACACCUCAAAUCUCGACAUUCGUGUUGAGAAUUGGACUUGAGCGAUCCCAACUCUUUGCAAAAAGGGGCGGGUUGCUUGAAAUGCAGGUGCAGCUGGACAUUCUUCUGAGCUAAAAGCAUAUUUAUUUAGUCCCGUCAAACGGAUUAUUACUUUUUGCUCUAGCUAACAUAAAGGUUGAUUGUUCUCUAUGCUGACUGAUGCAGGAUUACCAAGUUUUACUAGCUAAAACUUGUAAACUCGAUCUCAAAUCAAGUAAGACUACCCGCUGAACUUAAGCAUAUCAAUA
RNAcentral lists this ribosomal RNA (555 nucleotides) under Mortierella sp. GW2-1. RNAcentral describes it as "eukaryotic LSU rRNA". The stretch from base 111 to 264 matches the Rfam family "5.8S ribosomal RNA". Lineage: Eukaryota; Fungi; Mortierellomycota; Mortierellomycetes; Mortierellales; Mortierellaceae. The record is from RNAcentral.